RNAcentral lists this ribosomal RNA (586 nucleotides) under uncultured Glomus. RNAcentral describes it as "eukaryotic LSU rRNA". It matches the Rfam family "Eukaryotic large subunit ribosomal RNA", at positions 204 to 637 of the family's 3401-position model. The record is from RNAcentral. Lineage: Eukaryota; Fungi; Glomeromycota; Glomeromycetes; Glomerales; Glomeraceae.
CAUGGAGGGUGAGAAUCCCGUCCGGCUGACCUUCAGGACGUUUUACGAUACGCUCUCAAAGAGUCGAGUUGUUUGGGAUUGCAGCUCAAAAUGGGAGGUAAAUUUCUCCUAAGGCUAAAUACCGGCGAGAGACCGAUAGCGAACAAGUACCGUGAGGGAAAGAUGAAAAGAAUUUUGAAAAGAAAGUCAAACAGUACGUGAAAUUGUUGAAAGGGAAACGAUUGAAGCCAGUCGUACCGACGGGAAUUCAACUUCUCGAGUGCUAAUCGUGGGUGACGUUGAGCCUCACGGCCUUCGUUGCUUGUGUUUUUGGUGCUUUUGGGGUGUACUUUUCCGUAUUGGUAGGUCAGCAUCGAUUUCGAUCGUCAUAAAAUGAUCGGGGGAAUGUAGCUUCGGUCUCGUAUCGGAGUGUUAUAGACCUUGGUAGAUGUGACGAUUGGGAUCGAGGAUUGCAACGAAUACCCUUUGGGCUAUCCGUCUGUCCUCUGAAAGUCGCUCGGGUGUCGAAAGCGUGCUUAUGGCUAUUCGAGUUGGCGGUCAACAGGUUAGAACGUGAUUAUAUUCGUUAAGGAUGUUGACGUAAUGG